Molecule: small RNA, 126 nt
Filed under: Ochrobactrum sp. P6BSIII
Lineage: Bacteria; Pseudomonadati; Pseudomonadota; Alphaproteobacteria; Hyphomicrobiales; Brucellaceae
Also listed under: 1 other name
Description: ar14
Rfam family: Alphaproteobacterial ar14
About the family: Smr14C2 was renamed NfeR1 (Nodule Formation Efficiency RNA) highly expressed in salt stress and during the symbiotic interaction on legume roots.
Source: RNAcentral
AGUUGUUCGGUUUUACUCCUCCUCCCAAAAACCGAACCUGAAGCGCGAUACUCCUCCUCCCAAUCGCGCUUUACCAAUCCGCCCGCAGCAACUUCUCCUCCUCCCAAAUUGCUGCGGGCGUUUUGC